ACUUCUUAUUGUAACAUUAUUGAAGGUUUGGGGAACUUGUUAUUGUAACAUUAUUGAAGGUUUGGGGAACUUGUUAUUGUAAGAUUAUUGAAGGUUUGGGGAACUUGUUAUUGUAAGAUUAUUGUAAGAUUAUUGAAGGUUUGGGGAACUUGUUAUUGUAACAUUAUUGUAACAUUAUUGAAGGUUUGGGGAACUUGUUAUUGUAACAUUAUUGAAGGUUUGGGGAACUUGUUAUUGUAAGAUUAUUGUAAGAUUAUUGAAGGUUUGGGGAACUUGUUAUUGUAACAUUAUUGUAACAUUAUUGAAGGUUUGGGGAACUUGUUAUUGUAACAUUAUUGAAGGUUUGGGGAACUUGUUAUUGUAAGAUUAUUGUAAGAUUAUUGAAGGUUUGGGGAACUUGUUAUUGUAACAUUAUUGUAACAUUAUUGAAGGUUUGGGGAACUUGUUAUUGUAACAUUAUUGAAGGUUUGGGGAACUUCUUAUUGUAACAUUAUUGAAGGUUUGGGGAACUUGUUAUUGUAACAUUAUUGUAACAUUAUUGAAGGUUUGGGGAACUUGUUAUUGUAACAUUAUUGAAGGUUUGGGGAAC
Long non-coding RNA from Haliotis rubra (blacklip abalone), 589 nucleotides. RefSeq lists it as uncharacterized. The transcript has 3 exons. NCBI's taxonomy places the organism in Eukaryota, Metazoa, Mollusca, Gastropoda, Lepetellida, Haliotidae. The record is from RefSeq and is a predicted model, not a curated record.